CUCAAUCCAUAACACUAGGACUGCUUUUUGCACAGCUUACUGAUUUCACCGUUCUAGCUUCUGAUAUUUUUUUCCUCUUAUGCUUGGCUAGGAUGAAAAGACAGCAUGUGGAAGAGCUGAAGCAGUUGAAAGCUAAAUCUACCUCCUUAUGUGUGUGCUGAAAUGACCCAGUGGGGACUUGGACCAGCUCUCAGCUUUGCUCCAGUCUACCCUCAUUAGGACUGGAUCGAUGCAGUGUCUGGCUGGCUUUUCACAGCAGGCGUUUUGCAGUUCGGCUCAGUGCUACGCCCUGUCAGCCCAUAUCUGGCAAUGAAGACCCAGGUGGAGAAAUACCUGUCUUACAUCCUCUGUCAGGACUCAGAUCAGAUCAAAGCACCAUCAGUGUCAAAGGUCACAGUGAUUCUAAUGAAGAUGCAAUGGCCAGUCUUAAAGAAUGGGGGGAGUAUUCCUAGGAAAGAAAGGAGUCAACACCAAGGCCGGGAUGCAAGUUUAUAUAACAGGUAUUUAUAAGAAGCUGUGCAAAUAAGAAUUUACUUAUCAAGCAUCAUACCCUGACAUGAUGGCCAUGGUUCUUGGAAGAGUUAGGUAUCCUUCAUCAAUCUCAAAUUACACUGGUUGCCUAAGUUUCUUAGAAAACUUAAAAAAAAAAAAAUAAUCUACCUUCUAUCUAAAUAACCCAUCUGCACCUGGACUGUUGUAGAGCUACUUGAACCUAUUAAUUACAGUGUCAUGCCAUCCCCAUGUUUAU
Centrocercus urophasianus (Greater sage-grouse) is the source of this 748-nucleotide long non-coding RNA. RefSeq lists it as uncharacterized. The transcript has 3 exons. NCBI's taxonomy places the organism in Eukaryota, Metazoa, Chordata, Aves, Galliformes, Phasianidae. The record is from RefSeq and is a predicted model, not a curated record.